Molecule: ribosomal RNA, 110 nt
Filed under: Masdevallia sp. HEID 124981
Lineage: Eukaryota; Viridiplantae; Streptophyta; Magnoliopsida; Asparagales; Orchidaceae
Description: partial 18S ribosomal RNA
Rfam family: Eukaryotic small subunit ribosomal RNA
Source: RNAcentral
AUGCGGGGGUUCGCCGCCCGUGACUCUGCGAGAAGUCCAUUGAACCUUAUCAUUUAGAGGAGGAGAAGUCGUAACAAGGUUUCCGUAGGUGAACCUGCGAAGGAUCAUUG